GCCGCUUAACAGGUGAUCCGACA
RNAcentral lists this non-coding RNA (23 nucleotides) under Arabidopsis thaliana (thale cress). The record is from RNAcentral. Lineage: Eukaryota; Viridiplantae; Streptophyta; Magnoliopsida; Brassicales; Brassicaceae.